Non-coding RNA from Schistosoma rodhaini, 45 nucleotides. NCBI's taxonomy places the organism in Eukaryota, Metazoa, Platyhelminthes, Trematoda, Strigeidida, Schistosomatidae. The record is from Rfam.
AUUCAGUUGACGAGUUCCAAAUAGGACGAAAAGUGCUUCCUGGAU